GCAGGUACGGGGACAUGGUGCCGCGGACGAUAGCGGGGAAGGUUGUGGGAGGGGUGUGCUCGCUGAGCGGAGUGCUCGUCAUCGCCCUGCCCGUCCCCGUCAUCGUGUCCAAU
This is a regulatory RNA element of Folsomia candida, 113 nucleotides long. It matches the Rfam family "Potassium channel RNA editing signal". Rfam says of the family: This family represents a group of sequences related to the human potassium channel Kv1.1 hairpin element which directs the efficient modification of an adenosine to inosine by an adenosine deaminase acting on RNA (ADAR). The ADAR modification causes an isoleucine/valine recoding event which lies in the ion-conducting pore of the potassium channel. It is thought that this editing event targets the process of fast inactivation and allows a more rapid recovery from inactivation at negative potentials. NCBI's taxonomy places the organism in Eukaryota, Metazoa, Arthropoda, Collembola, Entomobryomorpha, Isotomidae. The record is from Rfam.